This 464-nucleotide ribosomal RNA is filed under the name Vreelandella stevensii. RNAcentral describes it as "partial 16S ribosomal RNA". It matches the Rfam family "Bacterial small subunit ribosomal RNA", at positions 338 to 795 of the family's 1533-position model. The record is from RNAcentral. Lineage: Bacteria; Pseudomonadati; Pseudomonadota; Gammaproteobacteria; Oceanospirillales; Halomonadaceae.
UCUACGGGUGGCUGCAGUGGGGAAUAUUGGACAAUGGGCGAAAGCCUGAUCCAGCCAUGCCGCGUGUGUGAAGAAGGCCUUCGGGUUGUAAAGCACUUUCAGUGGGGAAGAAAGCCUUGGGGCUAAUACCCUCGAGGAAGGACAUCACCCACAGAAGAAGCACCGGCUAACUCCGUGCCAGCAGCCGCGGUAAUACGGAGGGCGCGAGCGUUAAUCGGAAUUACUGGGCGUAAAGCGCGCGUAGGCGGUCUGAUAAGCCGGUUGUGAAAGCCCCGGGCUCAACCUGGGAACGGCAUCCGGAACUGUCAGGCUAGAGUGCAGGAGAGGAAGGUAGAAUUCCCGGUGUAGCGGUGAAAUGCGUAGAGAUCGGGAGGAAUACCAGUGGCGAAGGCGGCCUUCUGGACUGACACUGACGCUGAGGUGCGAAAGCGUGGGUAGCAAACAGGAUUAGAUACCGUGUAGUC